Molecule: ribosomal RNA, 799 nt
Filed under: uncultured bacterium
Lineage: Bacteria
Description: bacterial SSU rRNA
Rfam family: Bacterial small subunit ribosomal RNA
Source: RNAcentral
GCAGGCUUAACACAUGCAAGUCGAGCGGAGCGAGGGUGCUUGCACCUUAGCUUAGCGGCGGACGGGUGAGUAAUGCUUAGGAAUCUGCCUAUUAGUGGGGGACAACAUUCCGAAAGGAAUGCUAAUACCGCAUACGCCCUACGGGGGAAAGCAGGGGAUCUUCGGACCUUGCGCUAAUAGAUGAGCCUAAGUCGGAUUAGCUAGUUGGUGGGGUAAAGGCCUACCAAGGCGACGAUCUGUAGCGGGUCUGAGAGGAUGAUCCGCCACACUGGGACUGAGACACGGCCCAGACUCCUACGGGAGGCAGCAGUGGGGAAUAUUGGACAAUGGGCGGAAGCCUGAUCCAGCCAUGCCGCGUGUGUGAAGAAGGCCUUUUGGUUGUAAAGCACUUUAAGCGAGGAGGAGGCUACUUAGAUUAAUACUCUAGGAUAGUGGACGUUACUCGCAGAAUAAGCACCGGCUAACUCUGUGCCAGCAGCCGCGGUAAUACAGAGGGUGCGAGCGUUAAUCGGAUUUACUGGGCGUAAAGCGUGCGUAGGCGGCUUUUUAAGUCGGAUGUGAAAUCCCCGAGCUUAACUUGGGAAUUGCAUUCGAUACUGGGAAGCUAGAGUAUGGGAGAGGAUGGUAGAAUUCCAGGUGUAGCGGUGAAAUGCGUAGAGAUCUGGAGGAAUACCGAUGGCGAAGGCAGCCAUCUGGCCUAAUACUGACGCUGAGGUACGAAAGCAUGGGGAGCAAACAGGAUUAGAUACCCUGGUAGUCCAUGCCGUAACGAUGUCUACUAGCCGUUGGGGCCUUUGAG